RNAcentral lists this ribosomal RNA (261 nucleotides) under uncultured soil bacterium. Its description in RNAcentral is "partial 16S ribosomal RNA". It matches the Rfam family "Bacterial small subunit ribosomal RNA", at positions 26 to 285 of the family's 1533-position model. The record is from RNAcentral.
AGGACGAACGCUGGCGGCGUGCUUAACACAUGCAAGUCGAACGGUGACGCUGGAGCUUGCUCCAGCUGAUCAGUGGCGAACGGGUGAGUAACACGUGAGCAACCUGCCCUUGACUCUGGGAUAACCCCGGGAAACCGGAGCUAAUACCGGAUACGAACCGCACAGGCAUCUGCGCGGUUGGAAAGAUUUAUCGGUCAAGGAUGGGCUCGCGGCCUAUCAGCUUGUUGGUGGGGUAAUGGCCCACCAAGGCGACGACGGGUA